This 249-nucleotide ribosomal RNA is filed under the name uncultured bacterium. RNAcentral's name for it is "partial 16S ribosomal RNA". It matches the Rfam family "Bacterial small subunit ribosomal RNA", at positions 526 to 776 of the family's 1533-position model. The record is from RNAcentral.
GACGGGAGGCAAGUGUUCUUCAAAAUGACUGGGCGUAAAGGGCACGUAGGUGGUGAAUCGGGUUGAAAGUGAAAGCCGCCAAAAACUGGCGGAAUGCUCUUGAAACCAAUUCACUUGAGUGAGACAGAGGAGAGUGGAAUUUCGUGUGUAGGGGUGAAAUUCGGAGAUCUACGAAGGAACACCAAAAGCGAAGGCAGCUCUAUAGGUCCCUACCGACGCUGAGGUGUGAAAGCAUAGGGAGCGAACAGG